This 460-nucleotide ribosomal RNA is filed under the name uncultured bacterium. Its description in RNAcentral is "partial 16S ribosomal RNA". It matches the Rfam family "Bacterial small subunit ribosomal RNA", at positions 338 to 795 of the family's 1533-position model. The record is from RNAcentral.
CCUACGGGUGGCUGCAGUGAGGAAUAUUGGUCAAUGGGCGGGAGCCUGAACCAGCCAAGCCGCGUGAGGGAAGAAGGUACAGCGUAUCGUAAACCUCUUUUGUCAGGGAACAAAGGCGGGGACUAGUCCCCGGAUGAGGGUACCUGAAGAAAAAGCAUCGGCUAACUCCGUGCCAGCAGCCGCGGUAAUACGGAGGAUGCGAGCGUUAUCCGGAUUUAUUGGGUUUAAAGGGAGUGUAGGCGGUUUAGUAAGAUAGUGGUGAAAUCCCAGAGCUUAACUUUGGAAUUGCCAUUAUAACUAUUAGACUAGAAUUACAGAGAGGAUAGUGGAAUACCCAGUGUAGAGGUGAAAUUCGUAGAUAUUGGGUAGAACACCAGUGGCGAAGGCGACUAUCUGGCUGUACAUUGACGCUGAGGCUCGAAAGCAUGGGGAUCAAACAGGAUUAGAUACCCCGGUAGUC